UACAGGGGGUGCAAACGUUGCUCGGAAUUAUUGGGCGUAAAGCGCGCGUAGGCGGCCGCUUAAGUCGGAUGUGAAAGCCCCUGGCUCAACUGGGGAAGUGCACCCGAAACUGAGUGGCUUGAGUACUAAAGAGGGUCGCGGAAUUCCCGGUGUAGAGGUGAAAUGCGUAGAUAUCUGGAGGAACACCGGUGGCGAAGGCGGCAUCCUGGACCGGCAUUGACGCUGAGGCGCGAAAGCCAGGGGAGCAAACGGG
This 253-nucleotide ribosomal RNA is filed under the name uncultured bacterium. Its description in RNAcentral is "partial 16S ribosomal RNA". It matches the Rfam family "Bacterial small subunit ribosomal RNA", at positions 524 to 776 of the family's 1533-position model. The record is from RNAcentral.